RNAcentral lists this ribosomal RNA (239 nucleotides) under uncultured bacterium. Its description in RNAcentral is "partial 16S ribosomal RNA". It matches the Rfam family "Bacterial small subunit ribosomal RNA", at positions 15 to 236 of the family's 1533-position model. The record is from RNAcentral.
AAUCCUGGCUCAGGAUGAACGCUGGCGGCGUGCUUAACACAUGCAAGUCGAGCGAAGCAAUUUAAGUGAAGUUUUCGGAUGGAUCUUAAAUUGACUGAGCGGCGGACGGGUGAGUAACGCGUGGAUAACCUGCCUCACACAGGGGGAUAACAGUUAGAAAUGACUGCUAAUACCGCAUAAGCGCACGGUACCGCAUGGUACAGUGUGAAAAACUCCGGUGGUGUGAGAUGGAUCCGCGU